GACGAACCGAGCGAACGUUAUUCGGAAUCACUGGGCUUAAAGGGCGCGUAGGCGGGCUCGAAAGUCAAGGGUGAAAUCCCCCAGCUCAACUGGGGAAGUGCCUUUGAUACUUCGAGUCUAGAGGGAGGUAGGGGCGUGCGGAACUUCCGGUGGAGCGGUGAAAUGCGUAGAUAUCGGAAGGAACACCGGUGGCGAAAGCGGCGCGCUGGACCUCUACUGACGCUGAGGCGCGAAAGCCAGGGGAGCAAACGGG
RNAcentral lists this ribosomal RNA (253 nucleotides) under uncultured bacterium. Its description in RNAcentral is "partial 16S ribosomal RNA". It matches the Rfam family "Bacterial small subunit ribosomal RNA", at positions 524 to 776 of the family's 1533-position model. The record is from RNAcentral.